Molecule: ribosomal RNA, 468 nt
Filed under: uncultured bacterium
Lineage: Bacteria
Description: partial 16S ribosomal RNA
Rfam family: Bacterial small subunit ribosomal RNA
Source: RNAcentral
GACGAACGCUGGCGGCGUGCUUAACACAUGCAAGUCGAACGGAAAGGCCCUGCUUUUGUGGGGUGCUCGAGUGGCGAACGGGUGAGUAACACGUGAGUAACCUGCCCUUGACUUUGGGAUAACUUCAGGAAACUGGGGCUAAUACCGGAUAGGAGCUCCUGCUGCAUGGUGGGGGUUGGAAAGUUUCGGCGGUUGGGGAUGGACUCGCGGCUUAUCAGCUUGUUGGUGGGGUAGUGGCUUACCAAGGCUUUGACGGGUAGCCGGCCUGAGAGGGUGACCGGCCACAUUAGGACUGAGAUACGGCCCAGACUCCUACGGGAGGCAGCAGUGGGGAAUCUUGCACAAUGAGCGGGAGCCUGAUGCAGCAACGCCGCGUGCGGGAUGACGGCCUUCGGGUUGUAAACCGCUUUCGCCUGUGACGAAGCGUGAGUGACGGUAAUGGGUAAAGAAGCACCGGCUAACUACGUG